CAUAGCCGGGGAAAACAGAGGGUGCGAGCGUUAAUCGGAUUUACUGGGCGUAAAGCGUGCGUAGGCGGCUUCUUAAGUCGGAUGUGAAAUCCCUGAGCUUAACUUAGGAAUUGCAUUCGAUACUGGGAAGCUAGAGUAUGGGAGAGGAUGGUAGAAUUCCAGGUGUAGCGGUGAAAUGCGUAGAGAUCUGGAGGAAUACCGAUGGCGAAGGCAGCCAUCUGGCCUAAUACUGACACUGAGGUACGAAAGCAUGGGGAGCAAACAGGAUUAGAUACCCCAGUAGUCCAUGUCUCUUAUACAC
RNAcentral lists this ribosomal RNA (301 nucleotides) under uncultured bacterium. RNAcentral's name for it is "partial 16S ribosomal RNA". It matches the Rfam family "Bacterial small subunit ribosomal RNA", at positions 509 to 809 of the family's 1533-position model. The record is from RNAcentral.